This 492-nucleotide ribosomal RNA is filed under the name uncultured bacterium. RNAcentral's name for it is "partial 16S ribosomal RNA". It matches the Rfam family "Bacterial small subunit ribosomal RNA", at positions 29 to 507 of the family's 1533-position model. The record is from RNAcentral.
AGUGAACGCUGGCGGUAGGCCUGACACAUGCAAGUCGAACGGCAGCACAGUAAGAGCUUGCUCUUACGGGUGGCGAGUGGCGGACGGGUGAGGAAUACAUCGGAAUCUACUUUUUCGUGGGGGAUAACGUAGGGAAACUUACGCUAAUACCGCAUACGACCUACGGGUGAAAGCAGGGGAUCUUCGGACCUUACGCGAUUGAAUGAGCCGAUGUCGGAUUAGCUAGUUGGCGGGGUAAAGGCCCACCAAGGCGACGAUCCGUAGCUGGUCUGAGAGGAUGAUCAGCCACACUGGAACUGAGACACGGUCCAGACUCCUACGGGAGGCAGCAGUGGGGAAUAUUGGACAAUGGGCGCAAGCCUGAUCCAGCCAUACCGCGUGGGUGAAGAAGGCCUUCGGGUUGUAAAGCCCUUUUGUUGGGAAAGAAAAGCAGCAGGUUAAUACCCCGCUGUUCUGACGGUACCCAAAGAAUAAGCACCGGCUAACUUCGUG